Molecule: ribosomal RNA, 305 nt
Filed under: uncultured Inocybe
Lineage: Eukaryota; Fungi; Basidiomycota; Agaricomycetes; Agaricales; Cortinariaceae
Description: eukaryotic LSU rRNA
Rfam family: 5.8S ribosomal RNA (bases 1-71)
Source: RNAcentral
GUGAAUCAUCGAAUCUUUGAACGCAUCUUGCGCUCCUUGGUAUUCCGAGGAGCAUGCCUGUUUGAGUGUCAUCAAGUUCUCAACCAUACCUCGGUGUGGCUUGGAUCUGGGGGGUUUUUGCAGGCUUCAAAGAAAGUCGGCUCCCCUGAAAAGCAUUAGCGGUGUCAGAGUACCUUUGGUGUGAUAACUAUCAAUGCCUUGGUGUAUACGAUGCAUGCUGCUUCUGAACUUCAUUUUUAUUGACAAAUUUGACCUCAAAUCAGGUAGGAAUACCCGCUGAACUUAAGCAUAUCAAUAAGCGGAGG